This 1369-nucleotide ribosomal RNA is filed under the name uncultured bacterium. Its description in RNAcentral is "bacterial SSU rRNA". It matches the Rfam family "Bacterial small subunit ribosomal RNA", at positions 28 to 1381 of the family's 1533-position model. The record is from RNAcentral.
GACGAACGCUGGCGGCGUGCCUAAUACAUGCAAGUAGAACGCUGAAGAGAGGAGCUUGCUCUUCUUGGAUGAGUUGCGAACGGGUGAGUAACGCGUAGGUAACCUGCCUUGUAGCGGGGGAUAACUAUUGGAAACGAUAGCUAAUACCGCAUAACAAUGGAUGACACAUGUCAUUUAUUUGAAAGGGGCAAUUGCUCCACUACAAGAUGGACCUGCGUUGUAUUAGCUAGUAGGUGAGGUAACGGCUCACCUAGGCGACGAUACAUAGCCGACCUGAGAGGGUGAUCGGCCACACUGGGACUGAGACACGGCCCAGACUCCUACGGGAGGCAGCAGUAGGGAAUCUUCGGCAAUGGGGGCAACCCUGACCGAGCAACGCCGCGUGAGUGAAGAAGGUUUUCGGAUCGUAAAGCUCUGUUGUAAGUCAAGAACGAGUGUGAGAGUGGAAAGUUCACACUGUGACGGUAGCUUACCAGAAAGGGACGGCUAACUACGUGCCAGCAGCCGCGGUAAUACGUAGGUCCCGAGCGUUGUCCGGAUUUAUUGGGCGUAAAGCGAGCGCAGGCGGUUUGAUAAGUCUGAAGUUAAAGGCUGUGGCUCAACCAUAGUUCGCUUUGGAAACUGUCAAACUUGAGUGCAGAAGGGGAGAGUGGAAUUCCAUGUGUAGCGGUGAAAUGCGUAGAUAUAUGGAGGAACACCGGUGGCGAAAGCGGCUCUCUGGUCUGUAACUGACGCUGAGGCUCGAAAGCGUGGGGAGCGAACAGGAUUAGAUACCCUGGUAGUCCACGCCGUAAACGAUGAGUGCUAGGUGUUGGAUCCUUUCCGGGAUUCAGUGCCGCAGCUAACGCAUUAAGCACUCCGCCUGGGGAGUACGACCGCAAGGUUGAAACUCAAAGGAAUUGACGGGGGCCCGCACAUGCGGUGGAGCAUGUGGUUUAAUUCGAAGCAACGCGAAGAACCUUACCAGGUCUUGACAUCCCGAUGCUAUUUCUAGAGAUAGAAAGUUACUUCGGUACAUCGGUGACAGGUGGUGCAUGGUUGUCGUCAGCUCGUGUCGUGAGAUGUUGGGUUAAGUCCCGCAACGAGCGCAACCCCUAUUGUUAGUUGCCAUCAUUCAGUUGGGCACUCUAGCGAGACUGCCGGUAAUAAACCGGAGGAAGGUGGGGAUGACGCCAAAUCAUCAUGCCCCUUAUGACCUGGGCUACACACGUGCUACAAUGGUUGGUACAACGAGUUGCGAGUCGGUGACGGCAAGCUAAUCUCUUAAAGCCAAUCUCAGUUCGGAUUGUAGGCUGCAACUCGCCUACAUGAAGUCGGAAUCGCUAGUAAUCGCGGAUCAGCACGCCGCGGUGAAUACGUUCCCGGGCCU